UUAACACAUGCAAGUCGAGGGGCAUCAGGAAGGAAGCUUGCUUUCUUUGCUGGCGACCGGCGCACGGGUGAGUAACACGUAUCCAACCUGCCCUUUACUCGGGGAUAGCCUUUCGAAAGAAAGAUUAAUACCCGAUGGCAUAAUGAUUCCGCAUGGUUUCAUUAUUAAAGGAUUCCGGUAAAGGAUGGGGAUGCGUUCCAUUAGGUUGUUGGUGAGGUAACGGCUCACCAAGCCUUCGAUGGAUAGGGGUUCUGAGAGGAAGGUCCCCCACAUUGGAACUGAGACACGGUCCAAACUCCUACGGGAGGCAGCAGUGAGGAAUAUUGGUCAAUGGGCGCUAGCCUGAACCAGCCAAGUAGCGUGAAGGAUGAAGGCUCUAUGGGUCGUAAACUUCUUUUAUAUAAGAAUAAAGUGCAGUAUGUAUACUGUUUUGUAUGUAUUAUAUGAAUAAGGAUCGGCUAACUCCGUGCCAGCAGCCGCGGUAAUACGGAGGAUCCGAGCGUUAUCCGGAUUUAUUGGGUUUAAAGGGAGCGUAGGUGGACUGGUAAGUCAGUUGUGAAAGUUUGCGGCUCAACCGUAAAAUUGCGGUUGAUACUGUCAGUCUUGAGUACAGUAGAGGUGGGCGGAAUUCGUGGUGUAGCGGUGAAAUGCUUAGAUAUCACGAAGAACUCCGAUUGCGAAGGCAGCUCACUGGACUGCAACUGACACUGAUGCUCGAAAGUGUGGGUAUCAAACAGGAUUAGAUACCCUGGUAGUCCACACAGUAAACGAUGAAUACUCGCUGUUUGCGAUAUACAGUAAGCGGCCAAGCGAAAGCAUUAAGUAUUCCACCUGGGGAGUACGCCGGCAACGGUGAAACUCAAAGGAAUUGACGGGGGCCCGCACAAGCGGAGGAACAUGUGGUUUAAUUCGAUGAUACGCGAGGAACCUUACCCGGGCUUAAAUUGCAGUGGAAUGAUGUGGAAACAUGUCAGUGAGCAAUCACCGCUGUGAAGGUGCUGCAUGGUUGUCGUCAGCUCGUGCCGUGAGGUGUCGGCUUAAGUGCCAUAACGAGCGCAACCCUUAUCUUUAGUUACUAACAGGUCAUGCUGAGGACUCUAGAGAGACUGCCGUCGUAAGAUGUGAGGAAGGUGGGGAUGACGUCAAAUCAGCACGGCCCUUACGUCCGGGGCUACACACGUGUUACAAUGGGGGGUACAGAAGGCAGCUAGCGGGUGACCGUAUGCUAAUCCCAAAAUCCUCUCUCAGUUCGGAUCGAAGUCUGCAACCCGACUUCGUGAAGCUGGAUUCGCUAGUAAUCGCGCAUCAGCCACGGCGCGGUGAAUACGUUCCCGGGCCUUGUACACACCGCCCGUCAAGCCAUGGGAGCCGGGGGUACCUGAAGUACGUAACCGCAAGGAUCGUCCUAGGGUAAAACUGGUGACUGGGGCUAAGUAA
Molecule: ribosomal RNA, 1437 nt
Filed under: uncultured organism
Description: SSU rRNA
Rfam family: Bacterial small subunit ribosomal RNA
Source: RNAcentral